Gorilla gorilla gorilla (western lowland gorilla) is the source of this 223-nucleotide long non-coding RNA. RefSeq lists it as uncharacterized. The transcript has 4 exons. NCBI's taxonomy places the organism in Eukaryota, Metazoa, Chordata, Mammalia, Primates, Hominidae. The record is from RefSeq and is a predicted model, not a curated record.
GAGUUCACCUUGCUACCAUCGAGGAAAUCCAGAACAACUGCUCAAGGACAUGUCUGAAUGAGUCACUGAGCCAUGGCUCUGUGAGGUUUUUGGCGUUAAUAUGCCAUGGUUUCUCCUGGACCUGGAGAAUAGAACUGAGUCAGAUUAAAGCAAACGGCCAAAAACAAGGACAAAGUCCAAGGUAUAUCAAGAUUUUAACUGUGAGGAAAUAAAACAACAAAAG